RNAcentral lists this ribosomal RNA (253 nucleotides) under uncultured bacterium. RNAcentral describes it as "partial 16S ribosomal RNA". It matches the Rfam family "Bacterial small subunit ribosomal RNA", at positions 524 to 776 of the family's 1533-position model. The record is from RNAcentral.
UACGGGGGGGGCAAGCGUUGUUCGGAAUUAUUGGGCGUAAAGGGCGCGUAGGCGGCCAUGCGUGUCUUCCGUGAAAUCCCUCGGCUUAACUGAGGACGUGCGGAAGAAACUGCAAGGCUCGAGUCCGGGAGAGGGGGGUGGAAUUCCCAGUGUAGCGGUGAAAUGCGUAGAUAUUGGGAGGAACACCGGUGGCGAAGGCUGCCCCCUGGACCGGUACUGACGCUGAGGCGCGAAAGCGUGGGUAGCAAACGGG